Non-coding RNA from Theobroma cacao (cacao), 344 nucleotides. Lineage: Eukaryota; Viridiplantae; Streptophyta; Magnoliopsida; Malvales; Malvaceae. The record is from RefSeq and is a predicted model, not a curated record.
UCUUGAAGCUUCCAACGCCAUCUUCUCAUUCUCCCCAUGGAAAGUUAGUUUUCUUUCAUUUUCUUUCCUUGUUUUCUUUUCAUUUCCUUUCUUUUCUUGCUUCUUCCUUCUCCCAACUUCUUACGCACCAAAGUUACAACUUCUAACCCUAAUUUCCAACACAUCUAAACCCUAGGAGAAGAAGAAAGAAAAAGAGAGAAAGGAAGAAAAAGCUUGAUUUUGUAAUUCAAGCAAGCUAAGCUAUGGUGGCCAUGGGUGUGAGGGAAUUAUGAAUUUUGUUGGGUGAAAUCCAAGCCAAAACCAAGUGGAAAUACAAAGGUAAAGUUAGAGUACUGUGGUGGUGC